UGGGCACCAGUGCGAGAACGA
RNAcentral lists this unclassified non-coding RNA (21 nucleotides) under Mus musculus (house mouse). RNAcentral's name for it is "oocyte_clustered_small_RNA10199". The record is from RNAcentral. Lineage: Eukaryota; Metazoa; Chordata; Mammalia; Rodentia; Muridae.